GUAGUAUGCCCUCCGUCCCACAAUUCUUGUCAUACAUUUGUUUAGAUACGGAUGUAUCUAACACUAAAAUGUAACUAGAUACAUCCGUAUUUAGAAAAAUUUAAGACAAGAAUUUUCGGACGGAGGGAGUACAAA
Molecule: non-coding RNA, 135 nt
Organism: Triticum aestivum (bread wheat)
Lineage: Eukaryota; Viridiplantae; Streptophyta; Magnoliopsida; Poales; Poaceae
Source: Rfam